This 635-nucleotide long non-coding RNA is filed under the name Bos taurus (domestic cattle). Its description in RNAcentral is "long non-coding RNA NONBTAT006682". Lineage: Eukaryota; Metazoa; Chordata; Mammalia; Artiodactyla; Bovidae. The record is from RNAcentral.
UCUUUUUCUUCAAUAAAAACUUGUCUUGCAUAUUGCUGUCAUUAAAGGCAGUUGUUCCUAAAAUUUCAAUCACUUAAGUACACCCACAAAACAAAAAUAUGGAGUUCUUCAUUCCCCGACAACUUGGAUUUACCCAGUUAUACCUCAGUGUUGUGGCAGCACCAUGGUGUCUGAAGGACACGGUGCUUUGACCUAAUCGUACCCGUUGUACUGACCUGAAGGAGACCUAAUCCUUUCUCUUUAUGAAUUUGAAUCACAGCCUUGAUGUGGUCUUUCUUGUUUUUUGUCCUUGUUCCUAAUGUAAAAGUGUUUAACUGCUUCCUGGUUGUAUUGGGUGGCAUUGGAAUAAGAUUUUAACUGGGUAUUCUUGAAUUGCUUUUACAAUAAACCAAUUUUAUAAUCUUUAAAUUUAUCAGCUUUUUACAUUUGUGUUCUUUUUAGUUAGGGCUUAUUAGAUCUACUUAUGGUUAAUGGAGCAUAUUGAUUUGUAGUUUCAGAUUUUCCAGAGCACUAUUUGUUAUAAUAACUAUUUUCUAAACAACAGUGCUUUAAAAAAAAUUAGAAAGUAACUUUUAUACAAAUGAUGUUGCUGUUUUAAGUAUUCAUACUAAAUAGAUGCAUUUUAUAUGGAACCU